RNAcentral lists this ribosomal RNA (329 nucleotides) under uncultured eukaryote. Its description in RNAcentral is "partial 18S ribosomal RNA". It matches the Rfam family "Eukaryotic small subunit ribosomal RNA", at positions 1470 to 1796 of the family's 1831-position model. The record is from RNAcentral.
CCCUUAGAUGUCCUGGUCCGCACGCGCGCUACACUGAGUGUCUGAGAUACGAGUCUGCCUGGUCCGGCAAGGUCUAGGUAAUCGCUAAAAGACACAUCAUGCUUGGGAUAGAUUAUUGCAAAUAUUAAUCUUGAACGAGGAAUUCCUAGUAAGCGCAAGUCAACAGCUUGCGUUGAUUACGUCCCUGCCCUUUGUACACACCGCCCGUCGCUACUACUGAUUGGAUGUUUAAGCGAGGUUCUCGAACUGCUAGCGACUUAGCUUCGGUGAGGUCGCAGUGUGGGAAGUGAACCUAGCUUUGGUGUCUAGAGGAAGUAAAAGUCGUAACA